AGCUUGCUGAAUACACGACCGGCGCACGGGUGAGUAACACGUUUGCAACCUUCCUCUAACUGGAGAAUAGCCCGAAGAAAUUCGGAUUAAUACUCCACAAAGUCAAUUUAAGGCAUCUUUUAUUGAUUAAAGCUCCGGCGGUUAGAGAUGGGCAUGCGUGUCAUUAGCUAGUUGGUGAGGUAACGGCUCACCAAGGCCACGAUGACUAGGGGGUCUGAGAGGAUGAUCCCCCACACUGGUACUGAGACACGGACCAGACUCCUACGGGAGGCAGCAGUGAGGAAUAUUGGGCAAUGGACGCAAGUCUGACCCAGCCAUGCCGCGUGCAGGAUGACUGCCCUAUGGGUUGUAAACUGCUUUUGUUUGGGAAGAAACCCCCGAUCGUGAUCGGGGCUGACGGUACCAUACGAAUAAGCAUCGGCUAACUCCGUGCCAGCAGCCGCGGUAAUACGGAGGAUGCAAGCGUUAUCCGGAUUCAUUGGGUUUAAAGGGUGCGCAGGCGGAAUAUUAAGUCAGUGGUGAAAUCCUGCAGCUUAACUGUAGAACUGCCAUUGAUACUGAUAUUCUUGAAUAUAGUUGAGGUGGGCGGAAUGUGUAAUGUAGCGGUGAAAUGCUUAGAUAUUACACAGAACACCAAUUGCGAAGGCAGCUCACUAAACUAAUAUUGACGCUGAGGCACCAAAGCGUGGGUAGCAAACCGGAUUAGAUACCCUGGUAGUCCAAGCUGGUAAACUAUGAUCACUCCGCUGUUGGCAAUACUUCGUCAGCGGCUGAGCGUAAGCAUUGAAGUGAUCCACCUGGGGAAAUACGGUCGCAUAGAUUGUAACUCUAAGGUAUUGACGGGGUCCCGCACUAUCGGAGGUACAUGUGGUUUAAUUCGAUGAUACGCGAGGAACCUUACCUGGGCUUUUAUGCAGAGCGACGUCCGCCGAAAGGUGGAUUCCUUCGGGCGAUCUGCAAGGUGCUGCAUGGUUGUCGUCAGCUCGUGCCGUGAGGUGUCGGGUUAAGUCCCAUAACGAGCGCAACCCUUAUCGUUAGUUGCCAGCGGGUAAUGCCGGGGACUCUAACGAAACUGCCGGUGUAAACCGUGAGGAAGGUGGGGAUGACGUCAAAUCAGCACGGCCCUUAUGUCCAGGGCUACACACGUGUUACAAUGGUCGGUACAGAGGGCAGCUACCACGCAAGUGGAUGCUAAUCUCGAUAACCGGUCUCAGUUCGGAUUGAAGUCUGCAACUCGACUUCAUGAAGCUGGAUUCGCUAGUAAUCGCGCAUCAGCCAUGGCGCGGUGAUACGUUCCCGGGCAUUGUACACACCGCCCGUCAAGCCAUGGAAGC
RNAcentral lists this ribosomal RNA (1334 nucleotides) under uncultured organism. RNAcentral describes it as "bacterial SSU rRNA". It matches the Rfam family "Bacterial small subunit ribosomal RNA", at positions 77 to 1411 of the family's 1533-position model. The record is from RNAcentral.